GGAGGAAAAGAAACCAACAGGGAUUGCCCCAGUAACGGCGAGUGAAGCGGCAACAGCUCAAAUUUGAAAUCYGGCUUCGGCCCGAGUUGUAAUUUGUAGAGGAUGCUUUUGGUGAGGUGCCUUCUGAGUUCCCUGGAACGGGACGCCACAGAGGGUGAGAGCCCCGUAUAGUUGGACACCGAGCCUCUGUAAAGCUCCUUCGACGAGUCGAGUAGUUUGGGAAUGCUGCUCAAAAUGGGAGGUAUAUCUCUUCUAAAGCUAAAUACUGGCCAGAGACCGAUAGCGCACAAGUAGAGUGAUCGAAAGAUGAAAAGCACUUUGAAAAGAGGGUUAAAUAGUACGUGAAAUUGUUGAAAGGGAAGCGCUUGUGACCAGACUUGUGCCGGGCUGAUCAUCCAGUGUUCUCACUGGUGCACUCUGCCCGGCUCAGGCCAGCGUCGGUUCUCGCAGGGGGAUAAAAGCGGCGGGAACGUGGCUCCUCCGGGAGUGUUAUAGCCCGCCGCUCAAUACCCUUGCGGGGACCGAGGUUCGCGCUCCGGCAUGGACGCUGGCAUAAUGGUCAUCAGCGGCCCGUCUUGAAACACGGACCAAGGAGUCGAGGUUUUGCGCGAGUGUUUGGGUGUCAAACCCGCACGCGUAAUGAAAGUGAACGUAGGUGAGAGCUUCGGCGCAUCAUCGACCGAUCCUGAUGUAUUCGGAUGGAUUUGAGUAAGAGCGUUAAGCCUCGGACCCGAAAGAUGGUGAACUAUGCCUGAAUAGGGUGAAGCCAGAGGAAACUCUGGUGGAGGCUCGCAGCGGUUCUGACGUGCAAAUCGAUCGUCAAAUUUGGGCAUGGGGCG
This 839-nucleotide ribosomal RNA is filed under the name Coniochaeta ellipsoidea. RNAcentral's name for it is "LSU rRNA". It matches the Rfam family "Eukaryotic large subunit ribosomal RNA", at positions 52 to 925 of the family's 3401-position model. The record is from RNAcentral. Lineage: Eukaryota; Fungi; Ascomycota; Sordariomycetes; Coniochaetales; Coniochaetaceae.